AGUGAACGCUGGCGGUAGGCCUAACACAUGCAAGUCGAACGGCAGCACAGUAAGAGCUUGCUCUUACGGGUGGCGAGUGGCGGACGGGUGAGGAAUACAUCGGAAUCUACUUUUUCGUGGGGGAUAACGUAGGGAAACUUACGCUAAUACCGCAUACGACCUACGGGUGAAAGCAGGGGAUCUUCGGACCUUGCGCGAUUGAAUGAGCCGAUGUCGGAUUAGCUAGUUGGCGGGGUAAAGGCCCACCAAGGCGACGAUCCGUAGCUGGUCUGAGAGGAUGAUCAGCCACACUGGAACUGAGACAGGGUCCAGACUCCUACGGGAGGCAGCAGUGGGGAAUAGUGGACAAUGGGCGCAAGCCUGAUCCAGCCAGACCGAGUGGGUGAAGAAGGCCUUCGGGUUGUAAAGCCCUUUUGUUGGGAAAGAAAAGCAGCAGGUUAAUACCCCGCUGUUCUGACGGUACCCAAAGAAUAAGCACCGGCUAACUUCGUG
This 492-nucleotide ribosomal RNA is filed under the name uncultured bacterium. RNAcentral describes it as "partial 16S ribosomal RNA". It matches the Rfam family "Bacterial small subunit ribosomal RNA", at positions 29 to 507 of the family's 1533-position model. The record is from RNAcentral.